UGUGACUGGGUGCCGGGAGGCGCGGUAAUACAGAGGUGCCGAGGGUGUGGUGGAUUCACUGGGUGUAAGGGGGGCGCAGGUGGGUUGGCAAGUGUGGUGUGAAAGCCCCGGGCUUAACCCGGGAAUGGCAUUGAAUACUGCUGAUCUGGAGGAUCGGAGGGGGGACUGGAAUUCUUGGUGUAGCAGUGAAAUGCGUAGAUAUCAAGAGGAACACCAGUGGCGAAGGCGAGUCCCUGGACGAUACCUGACACUGAGGCACGAAAGCCGGGGGAGCAAACAGGAUUAGAUACCCCAGUAGUC
RNAcentral lists this ribosomal RNA (300 nucleotides) under uncultured Paenibacillus sp. RNAcentral's name for it is "partial 16S ribosomal RNA". It matches the Rfam family "Bacterial small subunit ribosomal RNA", at positions 496 to 795 of the family's 1533-position model. Lineage: Bacteria; Bacillati; Bacillota; Bacilli; Caryophanales; Paenibacillaceae. The record is from RNAcentral.